This 391-nucleotide ribosomal RNA is filed under the name uncultured bacterium. RNAcentral describes it as "bacterial SSU rRNA". It matches the Rfam family "Bacterial small subunit ribosomal RNA", at positions 505 to 898 of the family's 1533-position model. The record is from RNAcentral.
GUGCCAGCAGCCGCGGUAAUACGGAGGAUGCAAGCGUUAUCCGGAAUUAUUGGGUUUAAAGGGUGCGUAGGCUGUUUUGCAAGUCAGGGGUGAAAGCCCGGAGCUCAACUCCGGAACUGCCUUUGAUACUGCGAGGCUGGAAUACGGAUGCCGUGGGAGGAAUGAGUAGUGUAGCGGUGAAAUGCAUAGAUAUUACUCAGAACACCGAUUGCGAAGGCAUCUCACGAAUCCGUCAUUGACGCUGAGGCACGAAAGCGUGGGGAUCAAACAGGAUUAGAUACCCUGGUAGUCCACGCAGUAAACGAUGAUAACUAACCGUCGGCGAUAGACAGUCGGUGGCCAAGCGAAAGCGAUAAGUUAUCCACCUGGGGAGUACGUUCGCAAGAAUGAA